This 240-nucleotide unclassified non-coding RNA is filed under the name uncultured fungus. RNAcentral's name for it is "sequence contains ITS2". The record is from RNAcentral. Lineage: Eukaryota; Fungi.
AACGCACAUUGCGCCCCUUGGUAUUCCGGGGGGCAUGCCUGUUCGAGCGUCAUUUCAACCCUCAAGCUUAGCUUGGUAUUGAGUCCAUGUCAGCAAUGGCAGGCUCUAAAAUCAGUGGCGGCGCCGCUGGGUCCUGAACGUAGUAAUAUCUCUCGUUACAGGUUCUCGGUGUGCUUCUGCCAAAACCCAAAUUUUUCUAUGGUUGACCUCGGAUCAGGUAGGGAUACCCGCUGAACUUAA